Xyrichtys novacula (pearly razorfish) is the source of this 276-nucleotide non-coding RNA. NCBI's taxonomy places the organism in Eukaryota, Metazoa, Chordata, Actinopteri, Labriformes, Labridae. The record is from the annotation of a GenBank genome assembly.
UUUUUUUUUUUUUUUUUUUUGCAUUCUUUUUUUAUUUGCAGCAGUGGCAGUUCUCGGCCACUGUAUGUAACCACCCCUGCAUGUUGACUGAUAAAUCCUGACCAGAGCCGACCCAAGGCAUAAGCGAACUAAGUGCCUGCGUAGGGCCCCAUGGCCAGUAGGGGGCCCCCAAAAGCAAUAAAAAACAAAAUUUAAAUAUUUUUUAUUUUUUGCAUGUAUGAGUGAUGCUUUCUGUAUGAUCAAAUAUAUAUUAUUGUAAAUAUAAAAUAAAGUAAA